CUGCCCUGCCUGGUCCUUGUGCUGCAGGCUUUACAUUUUAUCAUUCCAGGAACUGGGCCUCACCACCGCCAGCCCCUCCAUGGCACAUCUGCUUUCUGUCUGCCCAGAACAGAGUUUCUACCCAGCCGCCUGCAAAAAUAUCUCAAGGCAUAGCGUGCAUUGAGACCCAGCUCUUACCUUUCAGAGUCCAGCGUCUCCUAAGGGUCUUCCUGACGUCCUAAAUCUCCACCCAAGUCUCUACCACAAGAUGCUUGAUGGUGCUGUGAAGAGGAGACUCCAUGGUUGUGAACCAAGGCAUGGGCAGAGAUGAACCAAAGGAUGCAAGGCCUUCAUAAAGCAGAAUCUCCACGGUGACCUACGGAAAAGAAUUCUUCGCAACACAGGAAGGAUACACCGGAAACUAAGGAGAUUGAUUAGUUACUCUAGGAGGUGGAGGUGAGAAAAGGGUGGACAGGAUCAAGGAAUGAAACUGGAGAUGAGGGAGGAGCAGCACUUCUCUGAGGAUUAUCUGUGUGUAUAGCUUUAACGUUUAGAACCAUGGCGAUAUUUUACAUACCCAAAAUUAAAUAAAUAAUCGAAAUCAACCAGGAUAUGCGGGCAGGGGACUGAAAAUGGGGGAUAAGCAGUAACACAUUAACCUAACUGUAUAAUCAAUUACUGACAUAACCACACUGAGGCGGAUAGGCAAUGAAAGAACUAACCUAAGUAACUUUGUAAAAUGGUACUUUGACUG
This is a long non-coding RNA of Rhinopithecus roxellana (golden snub-nosed monkey), 733 nucleotides long. RefSeq lists it as uncharacterized. The transcript is spliced from 4 exons. NCBI's taxonomy places the organism in Eukaryota, Metazoa, Chordata, Mammalia, Primates, Cercopithecidae. The record is from RefSeq and is a predicted model, not a curated record.